RNAcentral lists this unclassified non-coding RNA (306 nucleotides) under Hevea brasiliensis (rubber tree). The record is from RNAcentral. Lineage: Eukaryota; Viridiplantae; Streptophyta; Magnoliopsida; Malpighiales; Euphorbiaceae.
ACGUCUAUGGCGUGGAAUUAAUCCACCACCUAAUUAUCGCAGACACAUUUCGCCAAUUCGAGAGAUGGAUUAUGUAAAGGAAGCUGCAAUGACUUCGGAGGAUUAUGAGGCGGCUGCGUGUUUGUUGUUAUUGGCUAACAGUGAUGGUGUAUCGACAUUUGCCGAGACCAAAUGUGGAGGUGGCAAUGGCGGUGGGGAUGGUACUAGUCAUAGUAGUUUUCAUUUUCAGGAAGAUGUGAAUUGUCGUUUUGAGUGCUCGAGUUGCAAGAAGGUGUUUGGGUCCCAUCAGGCAUUAGGAGGUCACAG